AUGAAGAGGAUGAUGCAAAAGAUUAUCUCCACAAGAAAAGGGAAAGUAGGAAGGGCGAAGGAAGGAACAACACAGCGGAGGACCGAGGCGCAGCGGUGGAGGUGUCGAUGGGGGCGUCCCCGGCAAUAUGCCCAGGCUGAUGCGGCAGAGAACAGAAGGGGCGCCGGUUACGAGAGCGAGCUUGAGCGCGGAGGCAAGCCGGUCGGCCGCGAGCUGAUUGAUGCGGCAGAGGACCGAGGCGCAGCGAUGGAGGUCUCGAUGGGGCCGUCGCCGGCGGAGGACCCCGAGGCGCAGCGGGAACACGCUCGAUGGCAACAGAAGGGGGGCGAGAUUCACCAGCAGGUCGGACUACUGGAGCAAGACCGGCGUCGCCUUCCUGAAGCAAGAUUUGGGCAGCAGCCCGGCGGCUCUCUCUUAUCUCUCCCUGAAGCAAGAGGUGGACAGGAUGAAGUAACAACAUGUGGACAGAGAAGCGAGGCGUAA
This 483-nucleotide ribosomal RNA is filed under the name Triticum aestivum (bread wheat). RNAcentral describes it as "partial small subunit ribosomal RNA". The record is from RNAcentral. Lineage: Eukaryota; Viridiplantae; Streptophyta; Magnoliopsida; Poales; Poaceae.